RNAcentral lists this ribosomal RNA (795 nucleotides) under uncultured bacterium. RNAcentral's name for it is "bacterial SSU rRNA". It matches the Rfam family "Bacterial small subunit ribosomal RNA", at positions 127 to 960 of the family's 1533-position model. The record is from RNAcentral.
UGCCCAGAUCUAAGGAAUAGCCACUGGAAACGGUGAGUAAUACCUUAUACGCCCUUCGGGGAAAGAUUUAUCGGAUUUGGAUCGGCCCGCGUUAGAUUAGGUAGUUGGUGGGGUAACGGCCUACCAAGCCUACGAUCUAUAGCUGGUUUUAGAGGAUGAUCAGCAACACUGGGACUGAGACACGGUCCAGACUCCUACGGGAGGCAGCAGUGGGGAAUAUUGGACAAUGGGGGCAACCCUGAUCCAGCCAUGCCGCGUGAGUGAUGAAGGCCCUAGGGUUGUAAAGCUCUUUCAACGGUGAAGAUAAUGACGGUAACCGUAGAAGAAGCCCCGGCUAACUUCGUGCCAGCAGCCGCGGUAAUACGAAGGGGGCUAGCGUUGUUCGGAAUUACUGGGCGUAAAGCGUACGUAGGCGGGCUGGAAAGUUGGGGGUGAAAUCCCAGGGCUCAACCCUGGAACUGCCUCCAAAACUAUCAGUCUAGAGUUUGAGAGAGGUGAGUGGAAUUCCGAGUGUAGAGGUGAAAUUCGUAGAUAUUCGGAGGAACACCAGUGGCGAAGGGGCUCACUGGCUCGAUACUGACGCUGAGGUGCGAAAGUGUGGGGAGCAAACAGGAUUAGAUACCCUGGUAGUCCACACCGUAAACGAUGAAUGCCAGUCGUCGGGUAGUAUACUAUUCGGUGACACACCUAACGGAUUAAGCAUUCCGCCUGGGGAGUACGGUCGCAAGAUUAAAACUCAAAGGAAUUGACGGGGGCCCGCACAAGCGUGGAGCAUGUGGUUUAAUUCGAAGCAAC